UACGUAGGGGGCAAGCGUUGUCCGGAUUUAUUGGGCGUAAAGAGCGUGUAGGCGGCCAGACAAGUCUGCUGUGAAAACUCGAGGCUCAACCUCGAGCUGUCGGUGGAAACUGUCUGGCUAGAGUCCGGAAGAGGAGAGUGGGAUUCCUGGUGUAGCGGUGAAAUGCGCAGAUAUCAGGAAGAACACCUAUGGCGAAGGCAGCUCUCUGGGACGGUACUGACGCUGAGACGCGAAAGCGUGGGGAGCGAACAGG
Molecule: ribosomal RNA, 253 nt
Filed under: uncultured bacterium
Lineage: Bacteria
Description: partial 16S ribosomal RNA
Rfam family: Bacterial small subunit ribosomal RNA
Source: RNAcentral